RNA transcript from Salmo salar (Atlantic salmon), 3466 nucleotides. It is a transcript of the gene named polyglutamylase complex subunit TTLL1, with no coding region annotated. The record is from RefSeq and is a predicted model, not a curated record. Lineage: Eukaryota; Metazoa; Chordata; Actinopteri; Salmoniformes; Salmonidae.
AUACAUAGAUACUUAGCUAGCUGAUAUAACACGAUUGUGUCCAAUGCUUUACAGUACACCAAAAUGCUACCUAAAGAUAGUUGUGAGUAUAGCACAUGAAUUCAGUGUUUUUGCGAGAUAGCUAACUGCAGUGGCUCAUCAUGGGCAAAACAAUAGACUAUUAACGUUAGUUAAACCUAUGUUUAUUACACGUGCUAAGCUCAUCUGUGCGUGUGUGUUUGUGCUUGCAUUGGUGUGUGUGUGUGUGUGUGUGUGUGUGUGUGUCUUUGUGUGUGUGAGAGAGAGAGAGACUCUAGGAGGAACCAUGGCUAAUAAGGUGAAAUGGGUGACCGACAUUGAGAAAUCCGUACUCAUCAACAACUUUGAGAAGAGAGGAUGGACUCAGGUCACAGAGAGCGAGGACUGGAACUUCUACUGGAUGAGCGUCCAGACCAUCCGGAACGUGUUCAGUGUGGACACGGGUUACCGUCUCUCGGACGAGCAGAUGGUCAACCACUUCCCCAACCACUACGAGCUGACCAGGAAGGACCUGAUGAUCAAGAACAUCAAACGCUACCGCAAAGAUAUGGAGAAGGAGGGAAGCCCGCUGGCCGAGAAAGACGAAAACGGGAAAUACCUUUAUUUAGACUUUGUGCCGGUGACGUUCAUGCUUCCGGCAGAUUAUAAUCUGUUUGUGGAGGAGUUCCGUAAGAGUCCCUCCAGCACGUGGAUAAUGAAGCCGUGUGGGAAGGCUCAGGGAAAAGGCAUCUUCCUCAUCAACAAACUUUCCCAGAUCAAGAAGUGGUCCCGAGACAGCCGUACCUCCACGUUUGUAGCAGCCUCAAGUGGCAAGGAGGCCUAUGUCAUCUCUCUGUACAUCGACAACCCACUGCUGAUCGGAGGCAAGAAGUUUGACCUGCGUCUCUAUGUGUUGGUUACCACCUAUCGACCUCUCAAGUGUUACAUGUAUAAACUGGGUUUCUGCCGGUUUUGCACAGUGAAGUACACCCCCAGCACUAGUGAACUGGACAACAUGUUUGUGCACCUGACCAAUGUGGCCAUUCAGAGACAUGGGGAUGACUAUAACCAUGUCCACGGUGGGAAGUGGACGGUCAGUAACCUGCGUCUGUACCUGGAGAGCACCAGGGGGAAGGAGGUGACCAGCCGACUGUUUGACCAGAUCCACUGGAUUAUGGUGCAGUCCCUAAAGGCUGUCGCUCCCGUCAUGAACAACGAUAAACAUUGCUUUGAGUGUUAUGGAUAUGACAUCAUCAUCGAUGACAAGCUGAAGCCAUGGCUUAUUGAGGUCAACGCUUCUCCGUCGCUCACCUCCAGCACAGCCAACGACCGGAUUCUGAAGUACAAUCUGAUCAAUGACACGCUCAACAUCGUCACACCCAACGGGGACAUUCCCGACUGCCGCUGGAACCGCAGCCCACCCCGAGAGGCCCUGGGCAACUACCAAGUCCUGUGAGUGACAGCCCCCUCCUCCUAUCACAGCCAGCGCUCGAGGGAGAAAACAGGCCUGGGGCUUGUUCAGCAGGACGCAGCGUUUUGGAAUAUUUAGAUAGAAAUAUCCUAUGCUUCUCUGACAUGUAGAAUAAGGAAUCAAGUCGGAUCUAAUCAUGGCAUUUCUAUCUGCAACAUUUGACAACGUUUGACUACGGAAUGUGGCCCAGGGUACGACGAGGAGCAGGCGCUGAGCGAGAAUGCAGAACGCGACCUACGGAGUCGCUCAGGCCAGUCGCUGGGGUCUAAGGGAACGGCGAAGGGGGGCACCGGGCCUCGCCCAGCUGCCGCCACCUGGAAGUGAGGUGGUAAUGUCCAACGCCUCACUGUCCCUUCACUGACCUCUCACUGACCUCUCGUUGCUCUUCCUGUGUCAUGGUGGAAAGGGGGUUGGGGGCAAGGGACGACCCAGACAGAGGGAUGGAAGGAUGACAGGGAGGGAGGGAGAGGACCCAGUAAGCUCUGAGCACCCUGCCAUGCAUCACAAGCAAGGACACGUGUGUGUCAGAAAAGAAAGGGUCACACACACUCACAUUUAGCAGAAACUCUGUAUAAUACAUGAGAUAAUAGCAUUUAUCAGCCUUUUAUAUAGCAAUGGGAAGGGGUUGUUCUCAGAUGACUGUUAGAGGAUUUCAAUCAAUGCACCUGUAUGAAUAAUGUUUACAUAUAUUGUUGUGGAAUUGUUUUACUUGAAUGUUUUUUAUGUUUUCAAGCAGAAUAUUUGCUAGGUUAAGACACAUUGACGUGUGUAAUUAUUCUGUUCAUGUCUGAAAACCGACAGGUUUCACCUCUUUAUUCUGAAAUGCAUGACCCGAAAAGCAUUUGCUAUUUGUUGACUGUAUAAAACAUAGUGUAAUGGACAAUGCUAACAACAAACGAAAGUAAGACUGGAAAGUGAGCUUUGAAGCGUUUGCUUUUCAAGCCACUGGAGUAGGCUAUAAAGUGUAUAAGGCUACAGUAUGCAUAGGACAGUCAAUGUAUUGGAAUUACUUUUAUAAAACUGAGAGACUUGUUCAAUGUUUGGUUAUACAACUUUACUUUUGAGUUGUUACUCAUAAGUUCAACUUUGGGAUAAAGACAUGCUUUCACAGUUAAAUAUCUCGAUAUAAAGUGAUGAGGUCAGCUCUUCAAACAUUGAAGUACCUUUAAUUUUGUGUUGUGGAUGACAUUGCCAUGCCAACAAAUAUUUUCCUGUGGUGUGACCUUGGAGGGGUGACCUCUAAACCAGGGUUGCAUCCCCAAGGGCAUCCUAUUACCUAUGGGCCCUGGUUAAAAGUAGUGCACUAUAUAGGGAAUAGGGUGCCAUUUGAGACACUGACCAGCACACCCUUGGUCUGCCUGUGUGUUUAAGAUAAUCCCAUUCUGGUCACAGUGUGUGGUCACCUCGAGCGGUUGGCAUACAAGAGACUAAAGCUGAAGUGGCUACUGAGCUACAACAGACUGAACCAUUCUGGUUGUGUGAAAGUGAAGAUUAUGUAAUAAUCCAUAGAGUAUCUUUAUUAAUUUCUUAUAUACAGUACCAUACAUCCCACCUCACUGUGGUCCCCAGAGUUGUUAAAGGGAUAGUUCACCAAAAGGAAACCAAUAUGUAAUUUGGGUGAAUUAUCACUUUAACAGUCAUCAUUAGGUUUUGCCUUUAAUGAUGUGGACUUUUUUGUAUAGAAGACUGUACCAUGUUUUAUUUAUACUAAUAUGGUUCUGCUGUCUUUGUCUUACAGAUGGUUUUAGUACACAAUGAAAUAUACACUGUUACAUUGAAAUAAUGUAUUUUGAUGUACUUUUGACAGUAUUUGGUUAUGCAUUUCAUGUCAUCCUUUUACCCUCAUUCUUUGUUGCAUACAGGUAGUUGCAAUUAUAUAUUUUUUAUAUACAUGAACUGAAUAUAGGAAUUAUAACAUGCAAUGUUUUUGGUUUUUAAAUGUAUUAAUAAUUCCUGGUGCCUCAAAUGUCUGCAUGUAAUAAAUCCAAUUAAACAAUG